RNAcentral lists this unclassified non-coding RNA (343 nucleotides) under soil metagenome. RNAcentral describes it as "partial contains 5.8S ribosomal RNA, internal transcribed spacer 2, and large subunit ribosomal RNA". The stretch from base 5 to 121 matches the Rfam family "5.8S ribosomal RNA", at positions 38 to 154 of the family's 154-position model. The record is from RNAcentral.
GAUAGAAGAACGUAGCGAAAUGCGAUAAGUAGUGUGAAUUGCAGAAUUCAGUGAAUCAUCGAAUCUUUGAACGCACAUUGCGGCCAUAGGUAUUCCUUUGGCCAUGCCUGUUCGAGCGUCAUUUACACCCUCAAGCCUAGCUUGGUGUUGGGCGCCUGUCCCGCCGUUUUCGCGCGCGGACUCGCCUCAAAGUCAUUGGCGGCGGUCGUGCCGGCCCCCUCGCGCAGCACAUUUGCGCUUCUCGGAGGCCCGGCGGAUCCGCGCUCCAGCAAGACCUUUCACGACUUGACCUCGGAUCAGGUAGGGAUACCCGCUGAACUUAAGCAUAUCAAUAAGCGGAGGA